UUCAACCAAAAUGUGCAACCUGUUUUCAAAAGUUUUAUAUUGUGUAUGUUACAAAAUUGCACCUUGUUGUACCUUUGGUUAAACCUUGUAGUUUGUAUAAUGAUGAGAUCUAUUAAACGAUUUUGUCUACUCUUAUAGAUUGAGAUGAAUUUAAACCUGAAUGAAAACCUUGUUGAUGAAUUAAUACCAGAUUCUUCACCUGAAUUUCAACCCAGACCCAAUCUUGUUCAAUUACUUGUUGAUCUUCUUCAACAACAUACCCAGAAUUUUCAAAACAAUCCUGAAAAGAAGUUCUUCGAGUCAACUUACCAAACCAACUUUUCCAUUCAAAUCUUUCAAGUUUUUGCAACCCCCAGAGUUUAAAGGGACUGUAGAUCCCCAUGAGGCCAAGAUAUGGCUAAGAGAGAUAGAGAAGACUUUGAAAUAAUUGGUGCAAAAGAAGAUAAGAAAGUUAUCUUUUAUGAUUAUAUGCUUACAUAUUGGUGGGAAGCUAAGCAAAUUCUAGUGUGAUACCAUGGUUAAGUUUACAAAGUUAUUCCUAGAGAAGUAUGUUCUUAAACACCUAGAGAAUCAAAUGGAACUCAAAUUUCUAGAGCUUAAGCAAGAGAAUAUGUUGGUAACUGAACUCGAAGCCCAGUUUAUCGAACUUUUCGAAAUUUAGUCCACAUCAAGUAAAUUCGAAUGAAAAUAAAGCUAGACGUUUUUAGUCGGGCUUAAAGCCCUGGAUUCAGAAUAAGGUUGCUGUUCUCGAAAUUGCUAGCUAUGCGACGUGAGUGCAUAAAGCUUGUAUUGUGGAGUUAAGCAGUGAGUUGUUUAACAAAGAGAAAGUCGAUAAGAAGCGGAAACCCCUGCAAAAUAAUCAAAAUGUUGAAAAGAAACCCUGGACUCAUAGUGUGAAGAAACUUUUGUGAAGUAAGAGAUGCCGCGAGCAUAGGUAAAAUAGAAGGAAAUCAAAGGUUCAGAACUUCGCAUACCGCGAACGUGUUACAAGGGAAACCCCAUUGCCUGAGUAUAAGAUUUGUGAAAAACGCUAUUUAUGAUAAUAUCACGUUGCACACUAUUUCGGCUCAAGUUGACAUCAAAUGUCAUUUUGAAAACUGAGAAGUUUAUUUUGUAUCUUGAGUCCUUUCUUUGUUUGGAAGUGACUACUCCUAAUAAUCGAUAUUCCUUUAAUGUUACAAAAUCUUUUGUGAUUCAUGAUUUAAUAUAAAAGAAUUGGAAUACAUAUAUACCACGAUGAUGAACUCGAUCUAAUAAUUUUAAGAGAUCGUCCCAUAUUUGAUCCUAUUUCGAUUCUAUCCACUGGAAAUCCUUGAUUUUUGAUUAAAGGAUGCAUCGCUCGCAUUCCUUGGAAGAAGUGUGUUGAGAAGCAAUUAUGGUAGAUCAAGUUUGUCCAAACUGUGAGAUAACGAUUCAAAAGAAAAUCUUUGAGAUAAAUCUUAUUUCCUUGAUAUUUCUUCAAUCUGAUUGGGAUGAACAACCCUAAUUAUAGGGGACACAAGGUAUACCUGUCUGUGUGAUAGGAGUUGGAUGGGACGCCAUCACUUGUGUGUGUUGUGAUUACAAGAAGGUUAAUAACCUUUAGUAGUGUCCUAAUUUGGACACGCAACACUUAGUUCGUUCGAUCGUAUUAGUCUCCCAAUCAUCCUUUUAUUUCAAAUGAAAGCUACUUUGAACACUCAUGAAUCGGUGAUUACCAUUGUGAAAGAAUUCCAUAUGUCCAAGAAAGUUUUAAAUUUCUGAUUUCCUUUAAAUUCUUUUCGAAAUGCUCAGGUUUCAAAUUCUUUGGUUUUGUUCUUUUCAGAAAUAUAGUUUUUCCUAAAGUGUUCUUAAGAAGGUGUUGUAUGAAGACGUCAAAUCCAGACCAUCGGAUUUGAGAGAUGCCACAUCGAUGAUCGAGAGUAAAAUAAGAUGACUAUUAAGAAUUAGUAUCUUCCACUGAAGAUGGAUGGUUUGUUUGAUCAAUUGAAGGGAGCAUCUUACUUUUCUAAGAUAAACUUGAGAUCUGGAUACCAUCAGUGAAAGAAUCAGGUUUGAGAAUGUACCUAAAACAUCCUUUAGAACCCAAUAUGGACAUUAUGAGUUCUUGGUGAUGCCUUUUUGGAUUAACUAAUGCACCUGCAACAUUUAUGGUUUUUAUAAAUAGAGUAUUUAAGAAAUAUUUGAAUAAGUUCAUUAUCAAUGAUAUUUUGAUUUAUUCUAAGACGAAAGAAUAACAUGAUAAGUAUCUUAGGAUACCAUGGAAAUUUUGAGGAAAGAAUAGCUAUAUGCGAAAUUUUCGGAAUGUGAAAUUUUGAUAGAGCAAGUAAAAUUUUUAAGGGCAAAUAUUUUCUAAGGAAGGAAUAUUGAUAGACCCGUGAAGAUUGGGGCAAUAACAAAUUUGGAAAAAAAAAAAAUAUAAACCCCAACCAAAGUGAGAAGUUUUCUUGGUUUAGUAGGAUAUUAUAGAAGAUUUGUAAAAGGUUUCUCUAAGAUUGCAAUUCUUUUGACCAAGUCGACUAGAAAAGGAGAGAAGUUUGAAUGGACCCCUAAGUGCGGGGAGAGUUUUCAGGAAUAAAAGAAGUGACUAACAACGGCUCCUAUGCCGACCCUACCUGACGAAAUAUGGAAUUUUGGUGAUCUAUAGUGACACGUCUGGACAACAUGAAAAAGUGAUAACAUGUGCUUCUAGGCAACUUAAGGAUUAUAAACUGAGAUAUCCUACCCAUGACCUAGAAUUAGCUACUAUAAUGUUUGCUUUAAAGAUUUGAUGACAAAUUACUUGUAUGGUGAGAAGUAUGAGAUAUUUACGGAUCAUAAAAGUUUAAAGUAUCUGUUUACUCGGAAGCAACUGAAUAUGAGACAAAGAAGAUGGUUAAAAUUGAUCAAGGAUUAUGAUUGUACGAUUAACUAUCACUCAGGAGAAGCCAAUUUAGUUGAUGAUGCUUUAAGUAGAAAAGAAAGAAUCAAUGUGAUGUCUUUACCAAAAGAGUUGAUUAGAGAGCUGGAAAAGUUAAAGGAUAAGGGUUCAGACCCUAAAGAAGGAAAUAUUUUUGAAAUGGUAAUACAAACAGAUUUGUUAGAAAGAAUCAAAAAGAGUCAAGAAUAUAUUAUUUGAGGAAAAGCGUUCGGAGUUGUCAGGAGACGAGUAUUUAAGUGUAAAGGAUGAUAAAGGAAUUAGAAUAUUUGUAAACAGGAUUCGGAUUCCUAACAUGACAGAUCUAAAAAGAUAUAUUUUAAGUGAAGCACACGAAUCAAGAUAUUCUAUUCACCCGGGAAGCACCAAGAUGUACCAAGAUUUAAAGAAGAAUUAUUGGUGGUCUAACAUGAAAAGAGAAAUCGUUGACUGGGUAAGUAAACGUCUGACUUGUCAAAAAGUGAAAGCGGAGCAUCAAAGACCUAGUGGAUUAUUGCAGCCGUUAGAGAUCCCAAAAUAAAAAUAGAAACACAUCACCAUCGAUUUUAUAGUUGGAUUACCAAAGACUCGAGCUAAUCAUGAUGCUAUUUAGGUUAUUGUAGAUCAGCUGACGAAAUUUGCACAUUUCCUUCCUAUUAGUGAAAAGUACACAAUGGAGAGAUUAGUAAAGUUAUAUAUGAAUGAGAUGGUGACUAGACAUGGAGUGCCAGUGUCAAUUGUUUCAGAUAGGGAUGCAAGAUUAAUUUCAAGAUUUUGGCAAGCUUUUCAGAAAUGUUUUGGGACUAAGCUCAAUCUAAGUACUGCAUAUCAUCCCUAGACAAAUGGGCAAAGUGAAAGAACAAUACAAACCAUGGAAGAUAUGUUAAGAAUUUGUUCUUUGGAUUUAAAAGGAAGCUGAGAUGAUCACUUACCUUUAGUGGAGUUUUCUUACAACAAUAGCUAUCAUUCUAGCAUAGGAAUGGCCCCUUAUGAAGCGUUAAGUCAGAAAGUGUAGAUCACCUCUUGUUUGGGAUGAGGUUCGAGAAAAAAAAAAGAUAUUGGGACCAAAUUAGUCCAACAAACCACCCAGUCAAUCGAGAAGAUACGUAAAAGAUUAGUUGCAGCUCAAGAUAGACAAAAGAAAUAUGCGGACUUAGAAUGAAAAGAGAAAACAUUUGAGGUCGGAGAGAAAGCACUUUUGAAAGUAUCACCUUGGAAAGGAAUAGUCAGGUUUGGAAAGAGAAGCAAAUUGAAUCCUAGAUAUAUCGGAUCAUUUGAGAUUUUAAGAAAAGUUGGAGCUGUGUCCUAUCAACUAGCUUUACCUCCAUAUCUACAACAUAUUCAUGAUGUAUUUCAUGUAUCUCUUUUGAAAGCUUACAAGACCGAUGAUCGGCAUAUUCUAUAUUAUGAGCCAAUAAACGUCCAGUCUGAUUUAACAUAUGAAGAGAAGCCAAUAAAGGUUGUGGAUUCAAAAUUACAAGAAUUAAGAAAUAAGAAAGUGAAAUUAGUAAAAGUAAUUUGGCGAAAUCAAGUUGUAGAAGAAGCCACGUGGGAACUGGAAGAAGCAAUGAAAGAGAAGUAUCUGGAAUUGUUUCAGCAUCAAAUCUGAUUCCGAGGUCGGAAUCCUUUAAAGGAGGGAAGGAUGUAACAACCGCGAAAUUUCAAGUUUGUAAAGAAUUUAAUUAUUUUAUACGGUUAAGGUUAUUAUUGGAAUAAUUAUGAAUUUAUUGUUAAUAAGAUAUUGGUACGUAAAUAAUUAAGGCUAGUACGAGUCUAAAUUAUAUUGCUAGCAUAUUAAAUUUCGGUUAUGUAAAUCAGUUGGUAGAUGUAUAGUUUUGUUCAGAACCAGAGAUUAUAAAUAUUGCGGGUUAGCUAAAAUAAAUAUUUCGAUAUAAUUUUUUAACGCUCUAAAAUAUUUAGAAAAGUAUUGGAAUAAUUAUUCAAUUAAUUAUUCUAGUAUUUUUUUUUAUAAUCUCAAAAGAUAUAUAUUCUAAUAGGAAUCGUUAAGUGAGUCGGGACUGAAAUAUUGGUAAAUAAACGAAACAGGAGUAAUUAAAACGAGACGUAACUACGGUGCGAGAUAAUAAUUAAAUAAAAUAAUUUAAAUACAAAACCAUUAAACAAGCCGGUGGUUUUGAUUGCACACUGGAAUUAGAAAACUUGGUGCCCUGUUGUGUAGCGGCCAAGUAAUUAUCUAAUUAAGGUUAAUUAAAAAGAGUUAUUAGAGGCUAACUGUGAUUAAGUGGUAGUAUAAAAACCAACCCAAAAGAGUGGUUCACCAUUUUGGCUCAGUAAAGAAAGAAAUGGUACUAGUACAUACUCGUUAAGCAAGAGAAAAGGAUAAGACAAGUAAAGAGUGAGUAUGGCACAACUCAAGAGAAUCGCCCGGAAGCGGGUUUUGGCAAGUAAAAUGACAAGGCACAUCACAUGAGCUGAAGCUGCUAGGCAACGCUGUUUGGUGAUGCCAACUAUAGUUAUUAUAAUAGUCUGUUAUCAGACUCGCUAUUAUGUAAUAAACUUAGACUUGGUAGUAGUGUUGUAAACGAUCGACCCAGGACUUGUGGGGCAAGAGUUGGUUUGUAUAAAUAUUAAAAUGUAAUGCAAGUGUUGUUUUGAGCUA
Long non-coding RNA from Daucus carota subsp. sativus, 5495 nucleotides. RefSeq lists it as uncharacterized. The transcript has 2 exons. Lineage: Eukaryota; Viridiplantae; Streptophyta; Magnoliopsida; Apiales; Apiaceae. The record is from RefSeq and is a predicted model, not a curated record.